AUUGAACGCUGGCGGCAUGCUUUACACAUGCAAGUCGAACGAGUGGCGAACGGGUGAGUCACGCAUCGGAACGUACCUAGUCAAGGGGGAUAACUGGCCGAAAAGACAGCUACUACCGCAUAUUAUUCUAGCGGCCGAUGUGUGAUUAGCUGGUUGGCGGGGUAAAGGCUCACCAAGGCGACGAUCCAUAGCGGGUCUGAGAGGAUGACCUGCCACACUGGAACUGAGACACGGUCCAGACUCCGACGGGAGGCAGCAGUGGGGAAUAUUGCACAAUGGGCGCAAGCCUGAUGCAGCCAUGCCGCGUGAAUGAAGAAGGCCUUCGGGUUGUAAAGUUCUGUCGGUGACGAGGCGUUAAUCACAGAAGAAGCACCGGCUAACUACGUGCCAGCCGCCGCGGUAAUAC
This 406-nucleotide ribosomal RNA is filed under the name uncultured bacterium. RNAcentral's name for it is "partial 16S ribosomal RNA". It matches the Rfam family "Bacterial small subunit ribosomal RNA", at positions 30 to 526 of the family's 1533-position model. The record is from RNAcentral.